UAUAAAGUUAAACAACUUCUUCUCCUCUGUCUCCUGUUUAUUAUCAUUAUUUUAUUAUUAUUAAAAAAGGAAGUCUCUCAGAAACCAAGCUGUAUAUCCUCUAGUCUCUAUGUAAAAAAACAAAUUGGUCAUUUUCUACUUGGACAUCCCAGAAUAGAAAGUACAUUGAAGUACUAAAAAAUAAAGGGAUAGACUUGGGGUUAAGGGAGAUGUCAUAGAACAGCUAUCCUGGGUUAGUUCAAGUGUAGUCCUAUUCCAUGCUAGGCAAAGUCAAGGUUACAAAAAUCCCAGUUGCAUCAGGUUUCCAUUUUUUAUCAUUAUUUCCCUAUACAACGAUACAAGUUAAAAAAAAGUCGGUAAAUACUUUUGGCCAUCAAUUUUCAAGAUUUCAUUGGUGAUAUUAAGGAAAUGCUGUAAGUAGGUAACACAUAAUGUCAUAUUUGUGUGCUGUAGAAGUAUCUUGGAAAAUAUGGACUUUAAAACCUCAAAAUAUGGGUUUGCAAUCGAACAUACAUUCACCCCCAAAUUUGACCUUUUUCAGCUAGUUAUUUUCUCAUAUAAAGUUACUAUACUUACACCAUUAUCUUUAAUCCCUGAAAUUUCAAUUAUACUAGAAAUCAAGAUUCUUCAUUUUUACUCACGAAACUGACACUAAGUAUAUACCUCAUUAAGGACAAGAAGCUAUGAAUUCUCUGGACUUCAGUUAUCUCACAGAAAAGAGCUUGAUUGAAUAAUGUCUAAGGCUCUUCCUGACAUAGUCUAAAUAACAGAAGGUGUCUCACAAGAAAUGGAAGCAGUGAGAGAAAAAUGCAAUUAAAUCCUAGACUAGAAAGAAUCACAAUUUUCCCACUCACAGGUUGGAAAUGCCUCUCUAUUCUAUCACAAUUUUGAAAACCUCCAUAGUUUUACUAGCUUUGCCUUUCUCCCUUGCUAUCAUCUUCUGAGGUACAGACAGUCCUUUCCAUUUUUAUUCCUCUCCCACUCUGAUAAUUUUUUUCUUUGACAGAAGUCCCACUUUAUCAUUAAUGAUGACAAUAACUAAGGCUGCCAGGAACAGCACAUCUGCUGAGCUUUAUCAACACCAGAUUCUCUCAUUUUGCCUUCUGGAUCUCCAUGCUUUUUUAUACCAACAAACAAGAGGAAGAAUAUUCUCUACCCACUUCCUUGACUGAAGCCUGCUCUUUUAUGAAGACAUGGCAUCUCUUCCAACCGUGUCAAACAGAUGCAAUUUAUAUGUCUGCUGCUUCCAUACCCUGAUUAAAUGGGUCAGUGGCAGAAUCAGUAUCCUUAGUCUCCCCUUUGGUUUCAAAUAUGUACUCCUUAUUUCAGUUUCAUGCUCACCUUUCUGUAGAGACCAAGGCAUCUGCCUUUGCAGCUUUACCUCUUCCUCCAGGUUAUAGUUUCCAUUCAUGGAAUCUUUUAGCUGCUGGCUGGCAGUUUUCCUGUCUACCUGACUUCCAUUCCUCUUCUCAUGACUUCAGCUCCCAUGCAGAUGUCUUAUCCUGACAUACUAGCUUCUCCAUUCUAUUUCUGUGUGUGUGUGUCUGUGUGUUUCCCUACUAGUUCAUCCACAUUUCCCUAUGGUCUUUUUUUUUUAUGUUUUAUUUUUGCAUAUGUGUAUUUCCUUUUAUUUAUUUAUUUAUUUAUU
This 1648-nucleotide long non-coding RNA is filed under the name Homo sapiens (human). Its description in RNAcentral is "non-protein coding lnc-LMBRD1-5:24". The record is from RNAcentral. Lineage: Eukaryota; Metazoa; Chordata; Mammalia; Primates; Hominidae.